Eriocheir sinensis (Chinese mitten crab) is the source of this 1744-nucleotide long non-coding RNA. RefSeq lists it as uncharacterized. The record is from RefSeq and is a predicted model, not a curated record. Lineage: Eukaryota; Metazoa; Arthropoda; Malacostraca; Decapoda; Varunidae. The transcript has 7 exons.
ACACACACACACACACACACACACGUAGUGAAAACCCCGGCUUAAGUGUGUCGGGUAUUACAGUUUAUAUUCUUUUCUUGUGAGUUUGUGUUCGAUCGUCGUUUGUGUCGAGGCGUGUUCCCUUCUCUUACCCCUUUCGUCCGCCUGAUGAGUCAUGGGUACUGUGCGGGGGAUUCACACUGUAACUCAUAUAUACUGGAACUCACACUGGAACUCAUACUGGAACUCACACUAGAACUCAUAUUGAAACUCACACUGGAACUCAUACUGGAACUCACACUGGAACUCAUAUUGAAACUCACACUGGAACUCAUAUUGAAACUCACACUGGAACUCAUACUGGAACUCACACUGGAACUCAUGUUGAAACUCACACUGGAACUCAUACUGGGACUCACACUAAGACUCACACUGGAACUCAUACUGGGACUCACACUAGGACUCACACUGGAACUCAUACCGGGACUCACACUAAGACUCACACUGGAACUCAUACUGGGACUCACACUGGGCCUCGAGUAUACUGCCAUGUCUUGCUGAGCUGAGUAGGACAUGACGGGCUGGACUUUAUCCCCCCCCCCCCCCUACUCCCCGUGCCCUUUCCCUGCCGCUCCACACAACCACCUCCACCGCCAAGACAUCACCACCAGGACGCCUUCAACACCAACACCCUGCUAACGUAUCCACCACCGUCACCACCACCAUCGCUGCCAUCGUGUCCACCACCACCGUCACUUGUUAAGUGACGCAGAGGACCUGGCACCCCCAUCCUGCCUUACCUUGCCUUGCUUUGCCUUGCCCUGCCCUGCCUCACUCUCCCUGCCGUCUCCCUCCCCCAUGCCACGUCCCCUUCUUUCCCGGCCAGGGAGCAGCGAGCACAUUUCUCAGCCGCUGGCCCGAGGCGGCGCGCGGCUCGUCUUCCCGUCCACAGCAGCCAGAGAGCUGCGUGGCGGAGCGGAAGAUUCAAUGGCGUCCUGGUUACGAAGGCUGCCGAUAGAUGUCUCUGACGUAACACCCGGCUGGGGUAGGAUUGCCUCUCACCUUCAGCACGAGAUACAAAGAAAACUGGACUGCUUAACUGCUAUUUGAAGACCACAUUGACAGAGAAAAAGUGAAAUGGGUUCCGUAUGAGUUCUGGAAAAAAAAGGGAAAAGCAGCGGACAACCACCCAAGAAAAGGCAAGAGGAAGUAAAAGGGACGCCGUUGCAAGGCUAACUCCACGACCUUAAAGUGAACUGAACUGAACUGAGCGACGCGGACCAACACACAGGCUGAGCCGAGCAAUAGCCGACUAACGGGCAGCCAGUCCCUCGGUCCUUUGGAGGCGCCAUUCUCCCCGCCGUACCUUACAUUACCGAGGCGUCUUAAUUCUGGAUUCCCUUUGAAGAAAUGAAUAUUGCAUCCACGUGAAGAGCCUGGAAACCUGCAAGCUCGCCUGACACAAGCAUGGGCGGGGCUUUCUCAUGGUGAAAGAUCGGCUCCUUGUUGGCUCCACCUCCACAAGCCAGUCACGCUCCAGCCGCCCGCCCUCGCCCCUUCCCUUCCUCCCUGCCCCUCUUCCUCCCUUUCUCCCCCGUCACUCCCUGCCUCUCUCCCUUCCUGUCUCCCUUACUCUCUUACUCUCUAUCUUCCUACCUCCCUGCAUCCCUCCCUCCCUCCCUUUCUUUCUCCCUGUUUCUUUCCCUCCCUUUCCCUCUUACUCUCCGUUCCUGCCUCCUUCCCUCCCACCCUUUCUCCCUGCCCC